Molecule: transfer RNA, 73 nt
Filed under: Bacteroidota bacterium
Lineage: Bacteria; Pseudomonadati; Bacteroidota
Also listed under: 4 other names
Description: Bacteroidetes bacterium (biofilm metagenome) tRNA-Lys
Rfam family: tRNA
About the family: Transfer RNA (tRNA) molecules are approximately 80 nucleotides in length.
Source: RNAcentral
CUCUCCGUAGCUCAGCUGGUAGAGCAAUUGACUCUUAAUCAAUGGGUCACAGGUUCGAAUCCUGUCGGGGAGA